GUAUGGCUGCUUGACAUGUAAAGUGCUACGCGAGCUGGUUUAAGUACGUCGUGCGACUGUUCGGUCCCUAUCUGCCGUGGGCGUUAGAGAUUUGAGAAGAGUUGCUCUUAGUACGAGGGGACCGGAGUGAACGAACCACUGGCGUUCCGGUUGUUUCGCCAGAAGCAUUGCCGGGUAGCUACGUUUGGACGGGAUAAACGCUGAAAGCAUCUAAGCGUGAAGCAUCCUUCAAGAUUAGAUCUCUCUGAUGAAAAUCAGUAAGGAACGUUGGAGACUACGACGUUGAUAGGCUGGGUGUGGAAGUACAGCAAUGUAUGAAGCUUACCAGUACUAAUUAUCCGAUAGACUUAAGUCU
This 355-nucleotide ribosomal RNA is filed under the name Francisella tularensis. RNAcentral describes it as "partial 23S ribosomal RNA". It matches the Rfam family "Bacterial large subunit ribosomal RNA", at positions 2571 to 2925 of the family's 2925-position model. Lineage: Bacteria; Pseudomonadati; Pseudomonadota; Gammaproteobacteria; Thiotrichales; Francisellaceae. The record is from RNAcentral.